CGCCUUGCCAGCCCGCUACAGAAACUCAAAGGAAUUGACGGGGCCCGCACAAGCGGUGGAGUAUGUGGUUAAUUCGAUGCAACGCGAAGAACCUUACCUGGUCUUGACAUCCCGGAGACCCUUAGGAAACUAGGGGGUGCUUCCAUCUGGAAGAAUCUGGAGACAGGUGCUGCAUGGCUGUCGUCAGCUCGUGUCGUGAGAUGUUGGGUUAAGUCCCGCAACGAGCGCAACCCUUGCCUUUAGUUGCCAGCAGUUCGGCUGGGCACUCUAAAGGGACUGCCGGUGUUAAACCGGAGGAAGGUGGGGAUGACGUCAAGUCCUCAUGGCCUUUAUGACCAGGGCUACACACGUACUACAAUGGCCGAUACAAAGGGCAGCGACACUGCGAGGUGAAGCCAAUCCCGUAAAAUCGGUCUCAGUCCGGAUUGGAGUCUGCAACUCGACUCCAUGAAGUUGGAAUCGCUAGUAAUCGUGGAUCAGCAUGCCACGGUGAAUACGUUCCCGGGCCUU
Molecule: ribosomal RNA, 510 nt
Filed under: uncultured Desulfobulbus sp.
Lineage: Bacteria; Pseudomonadati; Thermodesulfobacteriota; Desulfobulbia; Desulfobulbales; Desulfobulbaceae
Description: bacterial SSU rRNA
Rfam family: Bacterial small subunit ribosomal RNA
Source: RNAcentral